GGUCAACAUUUGCCAAAGCAAAACCUGAAAUUCCAUGGACAUCUCUGACUCGGAAGGGGCUUGUUCGAGUUGUAUUUUUUCCAUUGUUCAGCAAUUGGUGGAUUCAGGUUACCUCUUUAAGAAUCUUUGUUUGGCUGUUACUACUUUAUUUCAUGCAAGUUAUAGCAAUUGUCUUAUAUUUGAUGAUGCCUAUUGUGAACAUAAGUGAAGUACUUGGACCCUUGUGCCUUAUGCUACUCAUGGGAACUGUCCACUGUCAAAUUGUGUCUACUCAGAUAACAAGACCAUCAGGAAACAAUGGAAAUCGAAGAAGAAGAGUUUCGCUCUUGUUGCCCAGGCUGGAGUGCAAUGGUGCGAUCCGCAAUCUCGGCUCACUGCAACCGAUACCUCCCGAGUUCAAGCGAUUCUCCUGCCUCAGCCUCCCAAGUAGCUGGGAUUACAAGCGUAUGCCACCACACCCAGCUAAUUUUUUUUUUUGAAUUUAGUAGAGACGGGAUUUCACCAUGUUAAUCAGGCUGAUCUAGAACUCCUGACCUCAGGUGAUCCACCUGCCUCGGUCUCCCAAAGGGCUGGGAUUACAGGCGUGAGCCACUGUGCCCAGCCGUCUAAACUUUUAAUAAGGAUUUAUUUGGCUUUUCUUUACAAAUUGAAUUCAUGUUAUAUUUUAAUCGAUUAUAUGGUAUAUGUGAGUUUUGGAACUGUUGAAAUGUUCUUAGGUAUAUGCAGUGUUAUUUUCCAAAAGUUAUGUUAUCUUCCCUCAGAAUAUCUGUAGAUUUUUGCCUGCGUAAGCAAUUACUAAAUAAGAAUUUUCCAUUAGGUGCAAUGAAUUUCAACAUAUUCUUAUUUUUGAAUGUUAUUUUAAAAACUUUUUAAAAAAGAUUUCUUGUAAAUUCAGUUAAAUUAAUGGAAUGUUUUCUAAGGAAAUAAAAUGCUAUGCUAUGUCUUAUUGA
RNAcentral lists this small RNA (950 nucleotides) under Pan troglodytes (chimpanzee). RNAcentral's name for it is "processed transcript". Lineage: Eukaryota; Metazoa; Chordata; Mammalia; Primates; Hominidae. The record is from RNAcentral.